AUUGAACGCUGGCGGCAUGCCUUACACAUGCAAGUCGAACGGCAGCGCGGGGCAACCUGGCGGCGAGUGGCGAACGGGUGAGUAACAUAUCGGAACAUACCCUAGAGUGGGGGAUAACGUAGCGAAAGUUACGCUAAUACCGCAUACGCACUAAGGUGGAAAGUGGGGGAUUCGCAAGAACCUCAUGCUCAUGGAGUGGCCGAUAUCUGAUUAGCUAGUUGGUGAGGUAAAGGCUCACCAAGGCGACGAUCAGUAGCUGGUUUGAGAGAACGACCAGCCACACUGGAACUGAGACACGGUCCAGACUCCUACGGGAGGCAGCAGUGGGGAAUUUUGGACAAUGGGGGCAACCCUGAUCCAGCAAUGCCGCGUGAGUGAAGAAGGCCUU
Molecule: ribosomal RNA, 388 nt
Filed under: uncultured bacterium
Lineage: Bacteria
Description: bacterial SSU rRNA
Rfam family: Bacterial small subunit ribosomal RNA
Source: RNAcentral